GCAUUGAAUUUAGUUAGUUUCAUAUUUUAAACGCUUCUGCUAACAAAAUUAUACGUAAAAAUUUCGUAGUUAUCAUUUUCUUUUUUUAAAUAAUAUUAAAAUUAUAAAAUGGAUUACACUUGGGCGGUUACAUUGCUGUUGGGUUGCGUAUUGGGCUUUGUAGUCGGUCUCCAUUCGUAAACCGCAAAGAGAAGUGCAUGAAGAGAAAUCCUUUGAAUAAUAGCUUUUGGCAAACAACUAUUCAGACCUAUAAAAUUUACGGAAAAUGGUUUGAGUAGAUUUUCUUGGGAUUUCCCACAAUUGAAUGUGAAUCGUAAUGCUUGAACCUUAACUUAAAUAAAUGAGAUUAUUUUAACCACUGAAAAACUGUUGUGGAAUUCAUGACUUGGGCUUUCUUCUUAAAGUUAUAUAUCUUAUGUUGUGCUUCUAUAACUAGAUGCUUUUCGAUGUUCUAUAAAAGACCUUCUCUACAUCAAAUUCCAAUAUCAUAAAAAUUGCAAUUAUUCCAAGAAUCUUUAAUGAAAGUUCUUGAGUUUUCUGUCUCAUAUAAAAUUGAUUCUCAAAUUUUUCGCUUUUUGAGUAGCAUGCUUUGAGACGUCACGUUCCAAGCAACCCCAAGGAAUCAGAUCAGUAUAAAGUAGUGUUCCGUGAGUAUCGUAUCGUUCUCUACACAACCUAUUUUUUUUUUUGGAUUUUCUAAAUUUUUGGAUUUGUAAAGGUAAUUCAAGUAGAUAGGGGUAUAUAAACAGAAAAGAAAAUGAAGUUGGAUUGGCUAGUCACUCUGCUGGUGGGCUGCAUUCUUGGUUAUUUAAUUGGCGUUCAAUGUUGAGCUUCCAGCAAGUCGAGAAACUAGAUGAAAAAUUGACAUGAGUUAAGAAAUUUCUCAGAGGGGAGACGACGUUGCUCAUAACCACAUUAUCUAGUGUAAGGACAUUUUUUCUCCCCAAGGAAUCAGAUCAGUAUAAAGUAGUGUUCCGUGAGUAAUUCAAGUAGAUAGGGGUAUAUAAACAGAAAAGAAAAUGGAGUUGGAUUGGCUAGUCACUCUGCUGGUGGGCUGCAUUCUUGGUUAUUUAAUUGGCGUUCAUUGUUGAGCUUCCAGCAAGUCGAGAAAAUAUAUGCAAAAUUGACAUGAGUUAAGAAAUUUCUCAGAGGGGAGACGACGUUGCUCAUAACCACAUUAUCUAGUGUAAGGACAUUUUUUUCUCCACUAGAUCUUCAUGAUGAGUCACAUUAUAUCAUAUGGCCUGGGUUUAAUAACGGGCUUGAUGCUGUGCAAACGUUGUGGUCCACCCUAACCAGGUUACAAAAUUACCGAUUGAAGAAACUAAAUCAUUUCCUAUCAAGACAUAUAAAUCAAAUAUGUACAAACUAGAUAAAGUGCAAUAAUAUUAGAAAUAUGUAGUAUAUAAGCAAUAAAUAAUGAUCAAAUAUUGA
Molecule: long non-coding RNA, 1434 nt
Organism: Drosophila mojavensis
Lineage: Eukaryota; Metazoa; Arthropoda; Insecta; Diptera; Drosophilidae
Exons: 7
Source: RefSeq, a predicted model, not a curated record